RNAcentral lists this ribosomal RNA (623 nucleotides) under uncultured bacterium. RNAcentral's name for it is "bacterial SSU rRNA". It matches the Rfam family "Bacterial small subunit ribosomal RNA", at positions 717 to 1339 of the family's 1533-position model. The record is from RNAcentral.
GAAGGCGACUCUCUGGUCUGUAACUGACGCUGAGGAGCGAAAGCGUGGGGAGCGAACAGGAUUAGAUACCCUGGUAGUCCACGCCGUAAACGAUGAGUGCUAGGUGUUAAGGGGGUUUCCGCCCCUUAGUGCUGAAGUUAACGCAUUAAGCACUCCGCCUGGGGAGUACGGCCGCAUGGCUGAAACUCAAAAGAAUUGACGGGGGCCCGCACAAGCGGUGGAGCAUGUGGUUUAAUUCGAAGCAACGCGAAGAACCUUACCAGGUCUUGACAUCCUCUGACACUCCUAGAGAUAGGAUUUUCCCUUCGGGGACAGAGUGACAGGUGGUGCAUGGUUGUCGUCAGCUCGUGUCGUGAGAUGUUGGGUUAAGUCCCGCAACGAGCGCAACCCUUGAUCUUAGUUGCCAGCAUUCAGUUGGGCACUCUAGGAUGACUGCCGGUGACAAACCGGAGGAAGGUGGGGAUGACGUCAAAUCAUCAUGCCCCUUAUGACCUGGGCUACACACGUGCUACAAUGGAUGGUACAAAGGGAAGCAAAACCGCAAGGUCAAGCAAAUCCCAUAAAACCAUUCUCAGUUCGGAUUGCAGGCUGCAACUCGCCUGCAUGAAGCCGGAAUCGCUAGU